This is a long non-coding RNA of Pantherophis guttatus, 497 nucleotides long. RefSeq lists it as uncharacterized. NCBI's taxonomy places the organism in Eukaryota, Metazoa, Chordata, Lepidosauria, Squamata, Colubridae. The record is from RefSeq and is a predicted model, not a curated record.
UUAGAUUCUACUUCAAGAGUCUAGGCUCAAGGUUGACUCAGACUUCUAUCCUUCUGAGUAUUAUAAUUCAGCUGCAACUUCUGGAGAGGCUUCAAACAAUUUGGAGGCGGGCUGCAAGAAGAUUUGAGAAGAAAGAUUUCACAAUCCUAGUCUAAGGCGAGCAAAGUUGACUAACAAAGAGUGGAGCGUGACAGAGGAUUCAAAGCUACAGAUGCUGAAGAGGAGAUAAAUUAUGGUCCCUAUUAGCCUGUUUUUCACUCUUUAGAGUUUAGACUCUCUAACUGCCCUAAGAUCUAAUGAAGGAACACUGUGCCAUUCUUCUUUCAAAGGAGAGUCUUCCCUUCUGGCUAAGCUCUGAUGUAGCUUGUUCAGCUUUUGUCUAGCAUGGUGUGAGAAUCCAGCCAAUUCUGUCCUAAUAAAUAACCCAUGAGGAACAGAGUUACAGUGGCAAAUUAUGGCUGACAAAAUGAUGCUAUUAAGUAAAAUGUGGACUUGUC